UGCAAGUCGAGCGGUAGCACAGGGAGCUUGCUCCUGGGUGACGAGCGGCGGACGGGUGAGUAAUGUCUGGGAAACUGCCUGAUGGAGGGGGAUAACUACUGGAAACGGUAGCUAAUACCGCAUAAUGUCUACGGACCAAAGUGGGGGACCUUCGGGCCUCAUGCCAUCAGAUGUGCCCAGAUGGGAUUAGCUAGUAGGUGGGGUAAUGGCUCACCUAGGCGACGAUCCCUAGCUGGUCUGAGAGGAUGACCAGCCACACUGGAACUGAGACACGGUCCAGACUCCUACGGGAGGCAGCAGUGGGGAAUAUUGCACAAUGGGCGCAAGCCUGAUGCAGCCAUGCCGCGUGUGUGAAGAAGGCCUUCGGGUUGUAAAGCACUUUCAGCGAGGAGGAAGGGUUCAGUGUUAAUAGCACUGUGCAUUGACGUUACUCGCAGAAAAAACACCGGCUAACUCCGUGCCAGCAGCCGCGGUAAUACGGAGGGUGCAAGCGUUAAUCGGAAUUACUGGGCGUAAAGCGCACGCAGGCGGUUUGUUAAGUCAGAUGUGAAAUCCCCGCGCUUAACGUGGGAACUGCAUUUGAAACUGGCAAGCUAGAGUCUUGU
Molecule: ribosomal RNA, 605 nt
Filed under: Serratia liquefaciens
Lineage: Bacteria; Pseudomonadati; Pseudomonadota; Gammaproteobacteria; Enterobacterales; Yersiniaceae
Also listed under: 1 other name
Description: bacterial SSU rRNA
Rfam family: Bacterial small subunit ribosomal RNA
Source: RNAcentral